This 413-nucleotide ribosomal RNA is filed under the name uncultured bacterium. RNAcentral describes it as "bacterial SSU rRNA". It matches the Rfam family "Bacterial small subunit ribosomal RNA", at positions 355 to 786 of the family's 1533-position model. The record is from RNAcentral.
UGGGAGAUAUUGCACAAUGGGCGCAAGCCUGAUGCAGCAACGCCGCGUGAAGGAAGACGGUUUUCGGAUUGUAAACUUCUGUUCUUAGUGAAGAAGAAUGACGGUAGCUAAGGAGCAAGCCACGGCUAACUACGUGCCAGCAGCCGCGGUAAUACGUAGGUGGCAAGCGUUGUCCGGAAUUACUGGGUGUAAAGGGAGCGCAGGCGGGAGGCAACAGUCAGUUGUGAAAUCCAUGGGCUUAACCCGUGAACUGCAGUUGAAACUGUUCUUCUUGAGUGAAGUAGAGGUUGGCGGAAUUCCGAGUGUAGCGGUGAAAUGCGUAGAUAUUCGGAGGAACACCGGUGGCGAAGGCGGCCAACUGGGCUUUUACUGACGCGAGGCUCGAAAGUGUGGGAGCAACAGGAUUAGAUACC